CUGACCUCAGAUCAGGCAAGACUACCCGCUGAACUUAAGCAUAUCAAUAAGCGGAGGAAAAGAAACCAACAGGUAUUCCCUCAGUAACGGCGAGUGAAGUGGGAAGAGCUCAAGCCGUCAAUCUCCGACCGUCGGUCGGCGAAUUGUAGUCUGGAGAAGCGCUAUCCGUGCGACGCUCGGCGGUGUAAGUUGCUUGGAACGGCAUAUCGCAGAGGGUGAGAAUCCCGUCUUGGACCGUGGAGCGCGCACCACGAGGCGCUUUCGAAGAGUCGGGUUGUUUGGGAAUGCAGCCCAAAGCGGGUGGUAAACUCCACCUAAGGCUAAAUAGGGGCACGAGACCGAUA
RNAcentral lists this ribosomal RNA (344 nucleotides) under Plakortis halichondrioides. Its description in RNAcentral is "eukaryotic LSU rRNA". It matches the Rfam family "Eukaryotic large subunit ribosomal RNA", at positions 1 to 339 of the family's 3401-position model. Lineage: Eukaryota; Metazoa; Porifera; Homoscleromorpha; Homosclerophorida; Plakinidae. The record is from RNAcentral.